RNAcentral lists this ribosomal RNA (996 nucleotides) under uncultured archaeon. Its description in RNAcentral is "bacterial SSU rRNA". It matches the Rfam family "Archaeal small subunit ribosomal RNA", at positions 1 to 999 of the family's 1478-position model. The record is from RNAcentral.
UUCCGGUUGAUCCUGCCGGAGGCUACCGCUAUUGGAAUCUGAUUAAGCCAUGCGAGUUGAAAGGGUUUAGACCCUUAGCGGACGGCUCAGUAACACGUGGAGAACCUGCCCUCAGGUGGGGGAUAAUCCCGGGAAACUGGGAAUAAUACCCCAUAGGUCUCGGCUGCUGGAAUGCUUCGAGGCCGAAAGCUACGGCGCCUGAGGAUGGCUCUGCGGCCUAUCAGGUAGUAGUGAGGGUAACGUCCUCACUAGCCGAUGACGGGUACGGGCGUUGAAAGACGGAGCCCGGAGAUGGACUCUGAGACACGAGUCCAGGCCCUACGGGGCGCAGCAGGCGCGAAACCUUCGCAAUGCUCGAAAGAGUGACGAGGGGAUUCCAAGUGCCUACGCUCAGCGUAGGCUGUUCAGAUGCCUAAAAAGCAUCUGGAGGAAGGACUGGGUAAGACGGGUGCCAGCCGCCGCGGUAAUACCCGCAGUCCGAGUGGUAGUCGAUUUUAUUGGGCCUAAAGCGUCCGUAGCCGGUCUGGAAAAUGCCUGGGUAAAUCGUCUGGCUCAACCAAACGAAUUCCGGGUAGACUACCAGACUUGGGACCGGUUGAGGGAGAGGGUACUUCAGGGGUAGGAGUGAAAUCCUGUAAUCCCUGAAGGACCACCGGUGGCGAAGGCGCUCUCCCAGAACGGGUCCGACGGUGAGGGACGAAAGCCAGGGGAGCAAACCGGAUUAGAUACCCGGGUAGUCCUGGCCGUAAACGAUGCGGGCUUUGCAUUGGGGGUCCUACGAGGGCGCUCAGUGCCGAAGCGAAGGCGUUAAGCCCGCCGCCUGGGAAGUAUGGUCGCAAGGCUGAAACUUAAAGGAAUUGGCGGGGGAGCACCGCAAUGGGAGGAGCGUGCGGUUUAAUUGGAUUCAACGCCGGAAAACUCACCGGGGGCGACUGUCACAUGUGGGUCAGGCUGAAGACCUUACCCGAAUAAAAGACAGAGAGGUGGUGCAUGGCC